Molecule: ribosomal RNA, 300 nt
Filed under: uncultured Sphingomonas sp.
Lineage: Bacteria; Pseudomonadati; Pseudomonadota; Alphaproteobacteria; Sphingomonadales; Sphingomonadaceae
Description: bacterial SSU rRNA
Rfam family: Bacterial small subunit ribosomal RNA
Source: RNAcentral
GCUACAUCCUGGCCGGCAGCGGCGGUGAUACGGGGGGGGGGAGCGGUAAUCGGAAUUACUGGGCGUAAAGCGUGCGUAGGCGGUCCGGGCAGUCAGCCGUGAAAGCCCCGGGCUCAACCUGGGAACGGCGGUUGGGACGGCCGGACUGGAGUGGGCUAGAGGAUCGUGGAAUUCCGGGUGUAGCGGUGAAAUGCGUAGAGAUCCGGAGGAACACCGAUGGCGAAGGCAGCGGUCUGGGGCCACACUGACGCUGAGGCACGAAAGCGUGGGGAGCAAACAGGAUUAGAUACCCGAGUAGUC